This 253-nucleotide ribosomal RNA is filed under the name uncultured bacterium. Its description in RNAcentral is "partial 16S ribosomal RNA". It matches the Rfam family "Bacterial small subunit ribosomal RNA", at positions 524 to 776 of the family's 1533-position model. The record is from RNAcentral.
UACAGAGGAUGCAAGCGUUAUCCGGAAUGAUUGGGCGUAAAGCGUCUGUAGGUGGCUUUUCAAGUCCGCCGUCAAAUCCCAGGGCUCAACCCUGGACAGGCGGUGGAAACUACCAAGCUGGAGUACGGUAGGGGCAGAGGGAAUUUCCGGUGGAGCGGUGAAAUGCAUUGAGAUCAGAAAGAACACCAACGGUGAAAGCACUCAGCUGGGCCGACACUGACACUGAGAGACGAAAUCUAGGGGAGCAAAUGGG